RNAcentral lists this ribosomal RNA (375 nucleotides) under uncultured organism. RNAcentral's name for it is "partial 16S ribosomal RNA". It matches the Rfam family "Bacterial small subunit ribosomal RNA", at positions 527 to 896 of the family's 1533-position model. The record is from RNAcentral.
GUAGGUGGCAAGCGUUGUCCGGAAUUAUUGGGCGUAAAGCGCGCGCAGGCGGGUUUUUUAAGUUCUGAUGUGAAAGCCCACGGGCUCAACCGUGGAGGGUCAUUGGAAACUGGAGAACUUGAGUACAGAAGAGGAAAGCGGAAUUCCACGUGUAGCGGUGAAAUGCGUAGAGAUGUGGAGGAACACCAGUGGCGAAGGCGGCUUUCUGGUCUGUAACUGACGCUGAGGCGCGAAAGCGUGGGGAGCAAACAGGAUUAGAUACCCUGGUAGUCCACGCCGUAAACGAUGAGUGCUAAGUGUUAGGGGGUUUCCGCCCCUUAGUGCUGCAGCUAACGCAUUAAGCACUCCGCCUGGGGAGUACGGCCGCAAAGGCUG